This 467-nucleotide ribosomal RNA is filed under the name uncultured bacterium. RNAcentral's name for it is "partial 16S ribosomal RNA". It matches the Rfam family "Bacterial small subunit ribosomal RNA", at positions 28 to 506 of the family's 1533-position model. The record is from RNAcentral.
GACGAACGCUGGCGGCGUGCUUAACACAUGCAAGUCGAACGGAAAGGCCCUGCUUUUGUGGGGUGCUCGAGUGGCGAACGGGUGAGUAACACGUGAGUAACCUGCCCUUGACUUUGGGAUAACUUCAGGAAACUGGGGCUAAUACCGGAUAGGAGCUCCUGCUGCAUGGUGGGGGUUGGAAAGUUUCGGCGGUUGGGGAUGGACUCGCGGCUUAUCAGCUUGUUGGUGGGGUAGUGGCUUACCAAGGCUUUGACGGGUAGCCGGCCUGAGAGGGUGACCGGCCACAUUGGGCCUGAGAUACGGCCCAGACGCCUACGGGAGGCAGCAGUGGAGAAUAUUGCACAAUGGGCGGAAGCCUGAUGCAGCAACGCCGCGUGCGGGAUGACGGCCUUCGGGUUGUAAACCGCUUUCGCCUGUGACGAAGCGUGAGUGACGGUAAUGGGUAAAGAAGCACCGGCUAACUACGU